Molecule: long non-coding RNA, 857 nt
Organism: Trachemys scripta elegans
Lineage: Eukaryota; Metazoa; Chordata; Testudines; Emydidae
Exons: 3
Source: RefSeq, a predicted model, not a curated record
AAACACCUUAUUACUCUUUUCCAAGAAUACUUCUGUUGAUCUGAGAUUGUUUAUCCUCCUUUUGGCAGGUGAAAAUGCUCUUGUGACCUCACCCAAUCAAUCACUCACAUUCUUUGAUUUUUGCCAGCACUUCAGAGACCAUCCACAAUAAUACCAAACUCAUUAGCGGAAGCGAGGAUUAAAAGAUAAAUCUUGAGUCUUCACAUUUUCAGAUGUCUUAUCUGCUUAUGAUCGGACCAUACAAAGCGGAAAACACAAACAAGAAUUGGCAACUCCUGACAAAAAAUAUUUUGUCCAAAAGUUUACAACCAACUUUGGCGGCAGCAGGAAUUGAACCUGGGACCUCUGCUUCUAAAAGUAUGACCUUAUCCUCCCUGAGCUAAAAGGCAUACCUUUGUGCCCCCUUUAGAGUGCCUCGAUGUCUAAAGAUGCAGCUGAAGAUAAGAAACUGCAUGAACUGGGCCUGUCCUUUUGGAAAAUGGGCCAACUUUUGUAUAUACUCAAGUAACACCUAAUUUGUGUAUCCAAUGCAGGGAUUGGCAACCAUAUGUCAUUCUGUAUGUGUGUGGAUCUGUCCAUGCAACCUUUACUGGUGCACGCAGAUCAGGUGUUUUGAUCACACAGAUCAAAUACACCCUUUCUCCCCUCAACUAAAAAACAUGCAAAUAUUUAAGUGUUGGACCUAUUCUUUCUUUCUAUAUACCAGAUGCUUGUGCACCAACUUUAAUCUAGAAGACAGGUGCAUAAUACGUUUUAAUGGCUGGAAGUUGAAGCCAGCGAAGUUCAUACUGGAAAUAAGAUGUAAAUUUUUAAUGCCAGAGUAAUUAACCAUUGGGGCAGCUUAUAAAGGGAACUGG